AGCUGGGACCGAAGACUCUAGGCUAAGUUAUCUAUGUAGAUGGUGUCAGGGAGCGAAGCUACUGACCAAGCUGCUGUUACAUCCAGCUUUUUCUUGCCUAAGCGGUCUCGGGCUUGCUUCGUCAUUUGGCUUUGCUGUGGAGCACUCCUGUAAAGCUAGCUGAAUUGUACAUCGAAGAUCCACCCUUUUGAUCUCCAAAUUACUCUUUUGCAUCCCUGAAGGCUACCUGCAGUAAUAAAGAAAUUCCUCUGCCUUUGAGUGACUCCAAGAGACAACGUAAAGGCAAGACACAGCAGCUUCACGAAAGCGCAACAUAAAUUUGAAUAUGCUCUAAAGAGGGGGCAGUUGUCACCAUGGUGAUUUUAUUCUUUCCUAGAUUGAGCUCAAAAUGAAAGGGGAGCUCAAAAUGAAAGGGGAAGAAUUUGUAAAGCAAAGAUGCUGAAAUAGGUGAAUCAAAAAUCUGGAUACAAUUUCCAGUUGUUGUUCAAAAUACAGUCCUUCAUUUGAUGUUUGGAGCCUAUAUUUGGGAUCAGACACUCAAGAUAGUGAUUGUUACGUAGCCUGAGAAAGUGUACUUCUAUUGUUAGAAUAUUUGUAGAUAAUUGGAAAGCUCUCUAAUUAUUAUUAAUAUUCUACUAAAAAUGAUUAUACUGGCCUUUCCUCUACUAACGUUAUUGAGUGUUUACUAUUCACUAGGCAAUAUGUAACAUUCUUUGCAUGCAUUGUUUUAUUUAAUACUUACAAAAAUCUAUGAGAUAGAUGUUACGACUAUUCCCAUUUUAAAGAUGAAGAAACUAAGGUUUAUGCAUUCAUGGCAAACAUUUUUAUAAGGAUACAUCACUGCAAAAAAAGUCUGAUUCAAAAUCUCCUGUCUUUUUGAAGUUGUGUUUUACUGGUUUGUCUGAUCACACAGCUCCUAAGUGGCAGAUACAGGAUGCAAACCCAGGUUCAAAUUAUUAAACCUUAUAAUAAAUAAUGUUCAAAGCCUAUGUCAAUAAUCUAUGAUUUUAGAAGCCUUAUUUAAGAUUGGGCAUACCUACAGGUCAAAGUUUUAAGCAGUACAAGGUAGGAAGGCUGCUGAUGUGAGCCUGGAGUGCUCACGGUGACCAUUACUCUUGUAUUGAUCACUCUGAGAAUUUCAGGAAUACGCUACCAAGGAUAUAACUUCUUUCCAAUCACAUGUUACCUAGGAGAAGCCUCACUAGACCUCUGACAAUUCCUAUCACCCACAACUAAAGGAGGAUUCUAUUCCAAUCGGGAAGGGCCUUCUCAUAAACUGAGAAUAUGAAGCAGAGAUUUAUUGAAACCAACCCUGGCUGCCGUUACAGUGACAGAUGUCACAGCUAGAC
This 1349-nucleotide long non-coding RNA is filed under the name Macaca mulatta (Rhesus monkey). RNAcentral's name for it is "lncRNA (ENSMMUG00000050289.1)". Lineage: Eukaryota; Metazoa; Chordata; Mammalia; Primates; Cercopithecidae. The record is from RNAcentral.